UUCUCCUUUCUUUCUUCUUGGAGGUGCGACUUUUUUUGUUUUUUUUUUAAGAAACGCGUGUCCAGCGAAGGAAACGCGUUUCCGAUUUCAAGGAAUUGCGGAAACGACCCGGAGAGGUUUCCUCGCCGUGUCCUAACGUUUUCGGCAAGGAAACGUUUCCAGAACGAGGAAACGCUCCCUCCUCCUGUUUGCCGGAAACGUUUCCAGAACGGGGAAACGCUCCCGCCUCCUGUUUCCGUGCAUCUAGGUGAUAAAAGCCACAAGUCUUUCCCUUACUGCUACAUUGAUAUCCAGGACAUCAUCACAAAUAUUUUUCUUAUAAAUGUUCUUGCUACUUUACAGAACUUUCUUUACCUCCCUCUCUUUGUGCACUCUCUUUGUGCAUGUGCAUAAAUGCAUAUAAUGUCUGUAUGCAUAAUAUGGAUAAAUAGAAAAUUGGUAAUUUAACCAAAUUACUGAUGGUACAGGAUAGGCAUUGGAUUAGUUUCUAUCAUGUAUCAAAAAAUGUUGUUUUGCUUUAAUUAAUUCUAAACUGUCAAUGAAUAAUGGAGUUAGAAGCAGCAGCAGUUGUACAAAACUUUUAAUAGUGCUUGAAAACAAUCAGGUGAAGUCUUUUUCUUCGUAAGGUUGUUCCUUCACUAGAAUUGAUGACUUAUAUAAUGCUAAGCAUCACUUCUUGAUUGCACCUAGAUCUAUCUAUUCUAGAAAGCUACAUCUUUCAUGGAUAGGGAAAACAAAUACUCUCUCAAAGUGAUUUUGAUGAUGUUUUCCUCUUACUUCUAUUGGGUCUUUCUGGCAGCCUACAAUCACUGGGGAGAUUCAGUCACCAAUGGGUGUUGCCUCAGUCGAAUUUAUUGAUCCAAGGGAGAAUGUGGCGGUUGGUUAAUGGUUACAAAAUAUUUUUAGUACUUUAUUUAUUUUGGCUCGCCUUAUAUGCAUACGUAUCUAUUUUUAUUUUAAUGUCGAUCAUUUCCCCCCACCCCACACCUAUUAUGAGGUUGAGAGUAUUAUGUUAAUUUAUUGUAUAAGUAUAAUCUAGGGAAUCUUAGGUGCUGCUUUUUGGGUCAUUGACCGAAAUAUUCUAUUAAUUUUCUAGGUUGUUCCAAUCUUGAGAGCUGGUCUUGCUCUUGCAGAACAUGCAUCAUCAAUAUUGCCUGCAACAAAAACCUACCAUAUAGAAAUUAAGGGAUAGGCGGAGAUGAGGAUACACUUCAACCAACAAUAUAUCUGAACAAGUUACCUGAAAAUUUCCCCAAAGAUUCUCGAGUAUUUGUGGUGGAUCCUAUGCUGGCAACAGUGGCACGAUAGUGGCAACUGUUGAUCUCAUUAAGGAAUGUGGGGUUGAGAACAUACAAACAAGAGUGGUAACUAGUUUAUAACGAAUCUUUCUUGCAUUUGUGAAAUUUGACAUGCAGUUGAUAUCUUCACGAGCAACUUCAUGUGUCAAAGGCUAGGUUGGUGUAUGUUGUGCUUUAGCUGUUCUACCCCAUUGUUUUAUUACUUCUUAUGGAGGUAUUUGAAUUUUCUUUUGAAAAAAUUAAAUGAUCUAAAUUUUUACUUUGUACUUUCUUGCUUUUCAUAAGAUUAUCUUUCACCUUCAACAGUAGAAAUAAUAGGAUCAUUACUCUGCUUGAUGGUUUCUUUUUGCAUAAUUAUGAAUGUAAGAUAUAUUUUGAAUUUGUGGAACGAUUGGCAUUGGAUAUGUGAAAAAGAAUUUAUGGAAUUGAUGAGCAAGUCUCAUAUGACAAGUGAUCUGUGGAUUGAUCCAUAGCAUGAACACUGUCUGCAUCUGCCAAAAGGUCCUAAGUAGUUUUGCUGUUAAUUUAUUCACUCAGGAAACAAGUAAAAAUAGAGGCCACUAGAGUUUUCAAAAUGUAACAUGCUGAAGAUGUGCUGAAAAAAAAAGUGUACAGAAAUGUUCUUGGUAUUUGUGGAGGGGGAGAGAAGCAUAAAUGAUGAGGUCUUUUUUGGCUGGAAGAGAAAGCUGGUACUGGCUCAAUUCAAUUCAACAAAUUUUCUCUUCUGUGCACAUUACAAUAUUCAUACUCGAAUGGGAAAAUUACUUUUGGGAUUUGCUUGGUGCAAAUAUGCUACAUUGAUGUCAAUCAAUCUAUAUUCCAUCUAUAUUUUUGAGCUUGAUGAAAUGUUUUUUAUUAGAUAUAUGUAUUUGAUAGUUGCUUAUGCAGUGUUAAUGAGCAAGUGCAAGUGGAAAGCUAUUUCUUUUCUCUAUCUUUGAAGUUUGAUUAGCAAUCUGCUGAAUGAAAGCUGCCGUGUAAGUUGUAACAGAUAUCUGCAGUGGCUGCUCCUCCAGCCUUUUCAAAAGCUCAGCAAGAAGUUUCCUGUGCUUCACGUUUACACUGGAAUAUCAUUGAUCCUACAGUCAAUCACAAAGGAUUUAUGGUUCCUGGACUUGGAGAAGUUGGAGAUCGUAGUUUUGGCACAUGAUGUCUAAAUUUUUUUAUCAUCAUUAUUAUUAUAUUGGAGGGUAGCAGAGGAAGAAUGUUGAUUGAUGUAAACCUCUACCCUAUCCAUGUAAGUAAGGAUUUGCAAUUUGGAUGUGUUGAGCUAGAGUUUUGCAA
Long non-coding RNA from Hevea brasiliensis (rubber tree), 2579 nucleotides. RefSeq lists it as uncharacterized. The transcript is spliced from 6 exons. The record is from RefSeq and is a predicted model, not a curated record. NCBI's taxonomy places the organism in Eukaryota, Viridiplantae, Streptophyta, Magnoliopsida, Malpighiales, Euphorbiaceae.